CCUACGGGCUGCACCAGUGGGGAAUAUUGCACAAUGGGCGCAAGCCUGAUGCAGCCAUGCCGCGUGUAUGAAGAAGGCCUUCGGGUUGUAAAGUACUUUCAGCGAGGAGGAAGGCAUUAAGGUUAAUAACCUUAGCGAUUGACGUUACUCGCAGAAGAAGCACCGGCUAACUCCGUGCCAGCAGCCGCGGUAAUACGGAGGGUGCAAGCGUUAAUCGGAAUUACUGGGCGCAAAGCGCACGCAGGCGGUCUGUCAAGUCGGAUGUGAAAUCCCCGGGCUCAACCUGGGAACUGCAUUCGAAACUGGCAGGCUAGAGUCUUGUAGAGGGGGGUAGAAUUUCAGGUGUAGCGGUGAAAUGCGUAGAGAUCUGAAGGAAUACCAGUGGCGAAGGCGGCCCCCUGGACAAAGACUGACGCUCAGAUGCGAAAGCGUGGGGAGCAAACAGGAUUAGAUACCCGGGUAGUC
RNAcentral lists this ribosomal RNA (465 nucleotides) under uncultured bacterium. RNAcentral describes it as "bacterial SSU rRNA". It matches the Rfam family "Bacterial small subunit ribosomal RNA", at positions 338 to 795 of the family's 1533-position model. The record is from RNAcentral.